CACCCCUUCAUGCCAGGAGCUCCCCCAUUGUGACAACCACCGAUGUCCCCAGACAUUGCCUCAUGUCCCCCGGGGGCAGAAUUGUCCCACUUCUCCCAUUGAGAACCGUGUGCAAGGAAUACAUGUUUUCCUGUUUGUCUGUUGUGCCGGUAGGACCCUGGGGAAUCGCUUUCCUGGCGGUUCUUUCUGCAUCAAGACCCACACAUGAACCGAUUUAGGUCAUGGCUGUCCUUCAGAGCUGUCCUCAUGAGAAGGGCCAUGCAACCUGCUAUUUCUGGGCUCUAACCAGCCUCGUUUGGGAGCGGACGUCCGGGUCCCGAGCCAGCGCUGAGGACAGCCACGCCUCGUGCACAGAUGAGAGAGAGCCGGAGCCAGAGCCGGAAAGACCAGAAGCGGCAGCAGCAGCAGUCUGCCCGCCUUGGAGAAAGCAAGCGGCCACGUCGGUGUGCUCGGAGCAGGGCCCGUCCGGCAGCCGGCGGGGAGCGGGGCCCGGGGUCCUCCCGCCGCAGCGAGUGGAUUCUGCCAGCAGCUCACGGGAGCCGAGGGGGUCCCGAGGUCCGGAUGAGAGCGCAGCCUGGCCAGUCCCUGAUUUCGGGCCUGGAGACCUGAGCGGAGGCCGCGGCUGUCCCCAUUUCACAGAUGAGAAACUCGUGGCGCGGAGGCGUAGGAACUUCAGAGUUCUGUGACGUUCAGAUGCCCGUGUCUGUCGCCCGGGCCGGGAGCUCUUCCAGGGCGUGGGUUUUGUCUGCCCCCUCGUGGGUGUUCUAGCGAGCGGGUGGGGAAGGGGAGGGGGGCUGGUGCACAGUCCUCGCCGGACCCCCCGCACACAGAGGCGAGUCUGUGAGCGGGGCCAGUGACACGCCAGGGACAGCAAGCAGAACCUGGGGUGAGGAAUGAUCACAUGCAGCUUCCUGGCCGAGUCCUCGCCGGAGCUCAGAGCCUCCCGGAAUGGGACGUGCCGUUCCCUGGCACCUGACGACAGUGC
RNAcentral lists this long non-coding RNA (985 nucleotides) under Suricata suricatta (meerkat). Its description in RNAcentral is "lncRNA (ENSSSUG00005010596.1)". Lineage: Eukaryota; Metazoa; Chordata; Mammalia; Carnivora; Herpestidae. The record is from RNAcentral.